UACGUAGGGGGCAAGCGUUAUCCGGAAUCAUUGGGCGUAAAGCGCGUGUAGGCGGUUCCGUAAGUCCGCUCUGAAAGCCCCAGGGCUCAACCCUGGGAGGCGGGUGGAUACUACGGAACUGGAGUACGGAAGAGGAGAUUGGAAUUCCUGGUGUAGCGGUGAAAUGCGCAGAUAUCAGGAGGAACACCAACAGCGAAGGCAGAUCUCUGGGACGUUACUGACGCUGAGACGCGAAAAGCGUGGGGGAGCAAACAGG
This 256-nucleotide ribosomal RNA is filed under the name uncultured bacterium. RNAcentral describes it as "partial 16S ribosomal RNA". It matches the Rfam family "Bacterial small subunit ribosomal RNA", at positions 524 to 776 of the family's 1533-position model. The record is from RNAcentral.